This 232-nucleotide long non-coding RNA is filed under the name Gouania willdenowi (blunt-snouted clingfish). RNAcentral's name for it is "lncRNA (ENSGWIG00000026358.1)". The record is from RNAcentral. Lineage: Eukaryota; Metazoa; Chordata; Actinopteri; Blenniiformes; Gobiesocidae.
CAGACCGCCAAUGAUAACAGAAGAAGAAGGCUACGGAGAUCUGCUAACACUUUACUAGCUUCAGAAAGACAAACUGCUCAUCAUUUUCAUUUAUAGUUAAAGCUAUUACGUCUAUAUAAAGGUGACAUUGAACCAGGUUAAAGGAGUCGAUCAUUUUGCUGUACAUCAGGAUUCACCAGUGCUGCUGAUGGUCCAUGAUUGGCUUCCACCUCCCUCUGAAGGUGCCCAUGGU